UACAGAGGGUGCGAGCGUUAAUCGGAAUUACUGGGCGUAAAGCGCGCGUAGGCGGCUUUGCAAGUCGGGUGUGAAAUCCCUCGGCUUAACCGGGGAACUGCAUCUGAUACUGGAUGGCUUGAGUUCGGGAGAGGGAUGCGGAAUUCCAGGUGUAGCGGUGAAAUGCGUAGAUAUCUGGAGGAACACCGGUGGCGAAGGCGGCAUCCUGGACCGACACUGACGCUGAGGAGCGAAAGCCAGGGGAGCAAACGGG
This 253-nucleotide ribosomal RNA is filed under the name uncultured bacterium. RNAcentral describes it as "partial 16S ribosomal RNA". It matches the Rfam family "Bacterial small subunit ribosomal RNA", at positions 524 to 776 of the family's 1533-position model. The record is from RNAcentral.